This 252-nucleotide ribosomal RNA is filed under the name Triticum aestivum (bread wheat). RNAcentral describes it as "partial small subunit ribosomal RNA". The record is from RNAcentral. Lineage: Eukaryota; Viridiplantae; Streptophyta; Magnoliopsida; Poales; Poaceae.
AUGAAAUUUAAUUCCACAAAAGAGGCUUGGGGCUUUUGGACUUGUUAUGGAGGUCAUAUUGGUUUUGACGUAAGGGUAAAUUAUGAAAAUAAGAGCAAACUUGAUGGGGCAAUCACUUCCGCGAGAUACAUUUGUUCCAAUGAGGGCUACAGAAGAAUAGACAAAAGAGAUCACAACACCAAGCGUCCUCGUGCAGAAACAAGGGCUGGUUGUAAAGUUCGAAUGGGAAUCACCAUCGACCGAGAAACAUGA